RNAcentral lists this non-coding RNA (742 nucleotides) under Japyx solifugus. The record is from RNAcentral. Lineage: Eukaryota; Metazoa; Arthropoda; Diplura; Dicellurata; Japygidae.
AUUAGGAAAGUUUUAUUCUUGCUUACGCAUUUUCUACACUUUGAAUCUAUAUGCGCAAUUUAAUUAAUGUGAGAUAGCAGUUGAGGGUUUUAAAUAUUAGAGUAAUCUAGAUUUAGUUAAAAGUUUAGUGCCGGCAUAAUUCGUGCCAGCCGCCGCGGUUAGACGAGGGGGGUAAGGAAAUGUCAUUGGUUGUAAUAUUAUUGUGAUAUAGUUCACUUCUUAUUGUGUUUCAUGAAGGUGGAAUUUAGUUGGUUGAUUUUAGUGUGUGUUAUUGGAUUAAGUUACAGUAGUUUUUGUUUAGACCAGGAUUAGAUACCCUGUUAUUUGAAUUUAUUCUGAGUAGUAAAAGUUAUGUGCUUCAAACUCAAAGAAUUUGGCGGCACCUCAGUCCCUUUAGAGGAACUUGUCCCAUAAGCGAUAAUCCACGAUUAGUGUGUUCUGUUCUUGUAAUCCAGCUUGUAUACCGUCGUAUGUGAUUACUUCUAGAGUUUGUUUUCUUAAUUAAUUUGCUUAUUUAUUACAGAUCAAGGUGCAGUCUAUGAAUAGGUGGUGGUGAGUUACAUUGAAUUUAUUCAUAUGAAUUUUUUAUUUAAACAUAAGGUUGAAGGUGGAUUUAAUAGUAAUUUCCGUUGGUUAGUGGAAGUGAAUUGGGCUCUGGGGUGUGUACAUAUCGCCCGUCACUCUCACUUUAAAGUGAGAUAAGUCGUAACAUAGUAAAGGUACUGGAAAGUGCCUCUAGAGG